ACCACAACUGGUCCAGAUACCUUACGAACAUAACCAUACUCGCUCUCCUUCUCGGAAUCUUCGAAGGUAGUCAAUCGUGCACCGUACACUGACGGCAUUUUCUUAGAGACAGUUAGAUAUCGCGGUAAGUGAUAACUGAAAUUCGAUCCGACAAGCGGGAUCGAUUAAAACCCUAGGUUUUCAGUUCAAACAAGCAAUUCGCAGGUGCUGGCAACGAGAGAGAAAGAAGACGAGGCAGAGGGGUGAGUCCGAUUUAUGAGCAUGAAAUGGGAAGGAAGACACAAUUAUGUACCAGUGGAGGAACACACCCGGGUCUG
RNAcentral lists this unclassified non-coding RNA (317 nucleotides) under Hevea brasiliensis (rubber tree). Lineage: Eukaryota; Viridiplantae; Streptophyta; Magnoliopsida; Malpighiales; Euphorbiaceae. The record is from RNAcentral.